Molecule: long non-coding RNA, 924 nt
Filed under: Parus major (Great Tit)
Lineage: Eukaryota; Metazoa; Chordata; Aves; Passeriformes; Paridae
Description: lncRNA (ENSPMJG00000017384.1)
Source: RNAcentral
UCAGUGCUUCACAGCUUUUUCUAGACUGCUUCUCCUCAAUUCUGUGAUUCUUCCUUUUCAUAUGAGGUUCUAAGUAUUCUAAGAUGACUUUAAUAUGACCUCCCUUUGGGAGCAGCUCCACAGGGCUCUCACAGGUCCAAGAGGAAAAGACUCCAGAGUGGGGUGACUUGCUCUGUAAAGCAUUUGGUGAUCAGCACAAGACUCCUGUUGCCUUAACAGUGAAGUGAAGUGAAAUAAAGCUCAGCUCAGUCUGGAUCUCCCUAGAGAUGGAACUUAAUUAUGACCCAGCAUGUUUGUUCAACUGCUGCAGACCUACACAUUUUGGUGUCACUACUUCUGGUUUUACUGAGGCCACUGCACAGCAGAGGAGAAGGGCCUGGACAUUCCUUUUUAUCCCCACAAGCAUGGUUGAGAAGAGUGACCAACGAAAAUGAAUUUGGAGAAAAAUGCUGCUUUUUACUGAUGCCUGCAAUUGUUGGAUCUCUGAUAUUGUAGUUCCCAUAACAACAUCCAAAUGACUGAGGACUCUGCACCAUUGCUGUCCAUUGAACCUACAGGAUGUGGCUGCUAUUGCUCCAGUUUCCUCAUUUCUCUGAGAAAGGCAAGUGCUUUGGGAAGCUGGCUCCAUGUUUUGUUCCAGCAAACAAAACUUUACUGCUAUGCAUUGUCUGUAUUUUUCCAUCUAUAAAACCAACAAAACCCGAACACCUAGUAUUGGGAAAUUCUUACAUCCCACUUACAAUUCAUGUCUUUGUUCUCCUUUGAGUGCCCAGAGAAAUACAGUACAGCUGUAUAUUUGUUGUUGGAAAAUUAUAGCAACCAAGAAAUGAAAAUAUUCUUUUUGUAAGUUACAUUUUAUUUCCAGCUGAGUUGUAUCAGCUUAGGCAGAACAAUAGCAGAAUCCAGCACCUUAAGAGGUUGAGG